GAUGAAGAACGCAGCGAAAUGCGAUAAGUAAUGCGAAUUGCAGAAUUCCAGUGAGUCAUCGAAUCUUUGAACGCACAUUGCGCCCUUUGGUAUUCCUUAGGGCAUGCCUGUUCGAGCGUCAUUUAAACCUUCAAGCUCAGCUUGGUGUUGGGUGACUGUCCGCUUCACCGCGGACUCGCCUCAAAAUUAUUGGCGGCCGGUACAUUGGCUUCGAGCGCAGCAGAAACGCGAACUCGGGCCCGUCGUAUUGGCUCCCAGAAGCUAUCUUCACAAUUUUGACCUCGGAUCAGGUAGGGAUACCCGCUGAACUUAAGCAUAUCAAUAAGCGGAGGA
Molecule: unclassified non-coding RNA, 333 nt
Filed under: soil metagenome
Description: partial contains 5.8S ribosomal RNA, internal transcribed spacer 2, and large subunit ribosomal RNA
Rfam family: 5.8S ribosomal RNA (bases 1-121)
Source: RNAcentral